GUUCGUAGUGAACUGCGGAGGAUCAUUACCAGAGAGGAGCCCGAGCCCCUUGGGGCUCGGCCCCGCGGGCUCCGUCCCGUUUCUUCCCCCCGUGUCUACCCACCCGUGUUGCUUUGGCGGGCCCGGGGCGUCUGCCCUUCCCCACGGCUCGGCCGGUGGCCUCGCGCUCGCGCGGGAGGACGCCGCCGCCGGGGGGGUUCGUGCCCGUCCAUCGCCCUUACCCAACCCUGUUUAUCAGUGUCGUCCGAGUCCAUAAGAACAAUCGUAAAAACUUUCAACAACGGAUCUCUUGGUUCUGGCAUCGAUGAAGAACGCAGCGAAAUGCGAUAAGUAAUGUGAAUUGCAGAAUUCAGUGAAUCAUCGAAUCUUUGAACGCACAUUGCGCCCCUCGGAAUUCCGGGGGGCAUGCCUGUUCGAGCGUCAUUGCACCCCUCAAGCCCCGGCUUGGUGUUGGGCCUUCGCCCCCCGGGCGGCCCCGAAAAUCAGUGGCGGUCCGGAGCGACUUUAAGCGCAGUAGUUCAUCGCCCGCUUUGAAAGUGCGCCCCGCGGCUUGCGAUCGUCCCCCGACCUUUCAAUGAUUGACCUCGGAUCAGGUAGGGA
Molecule: ribosomal RNA, 600 nt
Filed under: Stereocaulon verruculigerum
Lineage: Eukaryota; Fungi; Ascomycota; Lecanoromycetes; Lecanorales; Stereocaulaceae
Description: eukaryotic LSU rRNA
Rfam family: 5.8S ribosomal RNA (bases 270-423)
Source: RNAcentral